GACGAACGCUGGCGGCGUGCUUAACACAUGCAAGUCGAACGGAAAGGCCCUGCUUUUGUGGGGUGCUCGAGUGGCGAACGGGUGAGUAACACGUGAGUAACCUGCCCCUGACUUUGGGAUAACUUCAGGAAACUGGGGCUAAUACCGGAUAGGAGCUCCUGCUGCAUGGUGGGGGUUGGAAAGUUUCGGUGGUUGGGGAUGGACUCGCGGCUUAUCAGCUUGUUGGUGGGGUAGUGGCUUACAAAGGCUUCGACGGGUAGCCGGCCUGAGAGGGUGACCGGCCACAUUGGGACUGAGAUACGCCCCAGACUCCUACGGGAGGCAGCAGUGGGGAAUAUUGCACAAUGGGCGGAAGCCUGAUGCAGCGACGCCGCGUGCGGGAUGACGGCCUUCGAGUUGUAAACCGCUUUCGCCUGUGACGAAGCGUGAGUGACGGUAAUGGGUAAAGAAGCACCGGCUAACUACGUG
RNAcentral lists this ribosomal RNA (468 nucleotides) under uncultured bacterium. RNAcentral describes it as "partial 16S ribosomal RNA". It matches the Rfam family "Bacterial small subunit ribosomal RNA", at positions 28 to 507 of the family's 1533-position model. The record is from RNAcentral.